AAGUCGUAACAAGGUUUCCGUAGGUGAACCUGCGGAAGGAUCAUUACUGAAAGAAACUAUUUUAGUUUUUCUUCAUCCAUCUCCCUUUGUUAAUUGAAUCCAUAUUUUUUCUUCCACCAGACAGUGUUCCCUUUUUUUUUUUUUUCUAAAAAGGAAACCCUCGGGCUUGAGUAGAUUUUUCCCUCUAUUCUUGUCAGGGAGUGCUGGUGGUAAGACUCCUCUUUCCAAAACUUUUGUUAUAAACAAAUUGUCUGACAAAAACUUUCUUAAAUGAAAUAAAACUUUCAACAACGGAUCUCUAGGCUCUU
This 308-nucleotide unclassified non-coding RNA is filed under the name fungal sp. RNAcentral describes it as "partial internal transcribed spacer region". The stretch from base 1 to 46 matches the Rfam family "Eukaryotic small subunit ribosomal RNA", at positions 1786 to 1831 of the family's 1831-position model. The record is from RNAcentral. Lineage: Eukaryota; Fungi.